AGGAUGAACGCUGGCGGCGUGCUUAACACAUGCAAGUCACGGGGGGUUUGAGGCGCAAGCCUUGAGCAACCGGCGAACGGGUGCGUAACACGUGAGCAACCUACCGAAAUGAGGGGGAUAGCCGGCCCAACGGCCGGGUAAUACCGCAUAAGCUCAGAUCCAGGCAUUUGGGUCUGAGGAAACCUCCGGGGCGUUUCGAGGGGCUCGCGGCCUAUCAGCUAGUUGGCGGGGUAAUGGCUCACCAAGGCGACGACGGGUAGCUGGUCUGAGAGGAUGGCCAGCCACAUUGGGACUGAGAUACGGCCCAGACUCCUACGGGAGGCAGCAGUGGGGAAUCUUGCGCAAGUGGCCUAACGGCUGACGCAGCGACGCCGCGUGAGGAUGACGCUCGUCGGAGUCGUAACCUCUUUUGUCUGAGACGUAAUUGUCAGCUAUCAGUCGUUGUAGUUUAGUACGGUUAGUCGGGACGAAAUUAA
Molecule: ribosomal RNA, 476 nt
Filed under: uncultured soil bacterium
Lineage: Bacteria
Description: bacterial SSU rRNA
Rfam family: Bacterial small subunit ribosomal RNA
Source: RNAcentral